CGCGGCCUAUCAGCUUGUUGGUGGGGUAAUGGCCUACCAAGGCGACGACGGGUAGCCGGCCUGAGAGGGCGACCGGCCACACUGGGACUGAGACACGGCCCAGACUCCUACGGGAGGCAGCAGUGGGGAAUAUUGCACAAUGGGCGGAAGCCUGAUGCAGCGACGCCGCGUGAGGGAUGACGGCCUUCGGGUUGUAAACCUCUUUCAGCAGGGACGAAGCGCAAGUGACGGUACCUGCAGAAGAAGCGCCGGCCAACUACGUGCCAGCAGCCGCGGUAAGACGUAGGGCGCGAGCGUUGUCCGGAUUUAUUGGGCGUAAAGAGCUCGUAGGCGGCUUGUCGCGUCGACCGUGAAAACUUGGGGCUCAACCCCAAGCCUGCGGUCGAUACGGGCAGGCUAGAGUUCGGUAGGGGAGACUGGAAUUCCUGGUGUAGCGGUGAAAUGCGCAGAUAUCAGGAGGAACACCGAUGGCGAAGGCAGGUCUCUGGGCCGAUACUGACGCUGAGGAGCGAAAGCGUGGGGAGCGAACAGGAUUAGAUACCCUGGUAGUCCACGCUGUAAACGUUGGGCGCUAGGUGUGGGGGGCCUCUCCGGUUUCCUGUGCCGCAGCUAACGCAUUAAGCGCCCCGCCUGGGGAGUACGG
Molecule: ribosomal RNA, 643 nt
Filed under: uncultured Actinomycetes bacterium
Lineage: Bacteria; Bacillati; Actinomycetota; Actinomycetes
Description: bacterial SSU rRNA
Rfam family: Bacterial small subunit ribosomal RNA
Source: RNAcentral